Xenopus laevis (African clawed frog) is the source of this 67-nucleotide non-coding RNA. NCBI's taxonomy places the organism in Eukaryota, Metazoa, Chordata, Amphibia, Anura, Pipidae. The record is from Rfam.
GUGUUUGCAAAUGACGACCGAUUUUGAAAUGGUCUCACGGCCAAAAACUCGUGUCCGACAUCAACCC